CCCGGUGACCCAAAUCCUGGGGGGCCACACCCGUUCCCAUUCCGAAUACGGUAGUUAAGCCCCUGGGGCCGAUGAUACUCCUCGGUUGGGGGAAAGUAGGUCGUUGCCGGGC
This 112-nucleotide ribosomal RNA is filed under the name Planctomycetota bacterium. The record is from RNAcentral. Lineage: Bacteria; Pseudomonadati; Planctomycetota.